This 352-nucleotide ribosomal RNA is filed under the name uncultured bacterium. RNAcentral describes it as "partial 16S ribosomal RNA". It matches the Rfam family "Bacterial small subunit ribosomal RNA", at positions 338 to 682 of the family's 1533-position model. The record is from RNAcentral.
CCUACGGGAGGCAGCAGUAGGGAAUCUUCCACAAUGGGCGAAAGCCUGAUGGAGCAACGCCGCGUGGGUGAAGAAGGUCUUCGGAUCGUAAAACCCUGUUGUUAGAGAAGAAAGUGCGUGAGAGUAACUGUUCACGUGUCGACGGUAUCGAACCAGAAAGCCACGGCUAACUACGUGCCAGCAGCCGCGGUAAUACGUAGGUGGCAAGCGUUAUCCGGAUUUAUUGGGCGUAAAGGGAACGAAGGCGGUCUUUUAAGUCUGAGGGGAAAGCCUUCGGCUUAACCGGAGUAGUGCAUUGGAAACUUUGAGACUUGCGUGCAGAAGAGUGGAGUGGCCCUCCAUGUGUAGCGGU